AAAUUGAAGAGUUUGAUCAUGGCUCAGAUUGAACGCUGGCGGCAGGCCUAACACAUGCAAGUCGAACGGUAACAGGAAGCAGCUUGCUGCUUUGCUGACGAGUGGCGGACGGGUGAGUAAUGUCUGGGAAGCUGCCUGAUGGAGGGGGAUAACUACUGGAAACGGUGGCUAAUACCGCAUAACGUCGCAAGACCAAAGAGGGGGACCUUCGGGCCUCUUGCCAUCAGAUGUGCCCAGAUGGGAUUAGCUAGUUGGUGAGGUAACGGCUCACCAAGGCGACGAUCCCUAGCUGGUCUGAGAGGAUGACCAGCCACACUGGAACUGAGACACGGUCCAGACUCCUACGGGAGGCAGCAGUGGGGAAUAUUGCACAAUGGGCGCAAGCCUGAUGCAGCCAUGCCGCGUGUAUGAAGAAGGCCUUCGGGUUGUAAAGUACUUUCAGCGGGGAGGAAGGUGUUG
Molecule: ribosomal RNA, 459 nt
Filed under: Salmonella enterica
Lineage: Bacteria; Pseudomonadati; Pseudomonadota; Gammaproteobacteria; Enterobacterales; Enterobacteriaceae
Also listed under: 1 other name
Description: bacterial SSU rRNA
Rfam family: Bacterial small subunit ribosomal RNA
Source: RNAcentral